This 586-nucleotide ribosomal RNA is filed under the name Tromotriche longii. Its description in RNAcentral is "bacterial SSU rRNA". The stretch from base 1 to 323 matches the Rfam family "Eukaryotic small subunit ribosomal RNA", at positions 1512 to 1831 of the family's 1831-position model. The record is from RNAcentral. Lineage: Eukaryota; Viridiplantae; Streptophyta; Magnoliopsida; Gentianales; Apocynaceae.
UCAACGAGUCUUUAUCCUUGGCCGACAGGCACGGGUAAUCUUUGAAAUUUCAUCGUGAUGGGGAUAGAUCAUUGCAAUUGUUGGUCUUCAACGAGGAAUUCCUAGUAAGCGCGAGUCAUCAGCUCGCGUUGACUACGUCCCUGCCCUUUGUACACACCGCCCGUCGCUCCUACCGAUUGAAUGAUCCGGUGAAGUGUUCGGAUCGCGUCGACGUGAGCGGUUCGCUGCCCGCGACGUCGCGAGAAGUCCACUGAACCUUAUCAUUUAGAGGAAGGAGAAGUCGUAACAAGGUUUCCGUAGGUGAACCUGCGGAAGGAUCAUUGUCGAAUCCCUAAAAACAAAAAUGACCUGAGAAUAUGUUCAAUAGCAUGCAUCGGGUGUGAGGGUAAAACCUCUUCCUCCGUUGCUCUUUGUCCGACCAAUCGUUGGUUGUGUUAGGCAGUAAAAACCAAAAAUCGGCACGGGAAGUGCCAAGGACUUAUGAAAUGGGAUGCUUUGUCGUGGAAGGGGGACCGUUUGCGGUAUACCUUUAUCACGAUUCUCAAAAGGCCUCCGUAAAAGAAACCUUAUACGACUCUCGACAACG